GACGAACGCUGGCGGCGUGCCUAAUACAUGCAAGUAGAACGCUGAAGGAGGAGCUUGCUCUUCUGGAUGAGUUGCGAACGGGUGAGUAACGCGUAGGUAACCUGCCUGGUAGCGGGGGAUAACUAUUGGAAACGAUAGCUAAUACCGCAUAAAAUUGAUUAUUGCAUGAUAGUCAAUUAAAAGAUGCAAUUGCAUCACUACCAGUUGGACCUGCGUUGUAUUAGCUAGUUGGUGAGGUAACGGCUCACCAAGGCAACGGUACAUAGCCGACCUGGGAGGGUGAUCGGCCACACUGGGACUGAGACACGGCCCAGACUCCUACGGGGGGCAGCAGUAGGGAAUCUUCGGCAAUGGACGGAAGUCUGACCGAGCAACGCCGCGUGAGGGAAGAAGGGUUUCGGAUCGUAAAGCUCUGUUGUAAGAGAAGAACGAGUGUGAGAGUGGAAAGUUCACACUGUGACGGUAUCUUACCAGAAAGGGACGGCUAACUACGUG
Molecule: ribosomal RNA, 495 nt
Filed under: uncultured bacterium
Lineage: Bacteria
Description: partial 16S ribosomal RNA
Rfam family: Bacterial small subunit ribosomal RNA
Source: RNAcentral